UGAGUAACACGUAUCCAACCUGCCGUCUACUCUUGGCCAGCCUUCUGAAAGGAAGAUUAAUCCAGGAUGGCAUCAUGAGUUCACAUGUCCGCAUGAUUAAAGGUAUUUUCCGGUAGACGAUGGGGAUGCGUUCCAUUAGAUAGUAGGCGGGGUAACGGCCCACCUAGUCAACGAUGGAUAGGGGUUCUGAGAGGAAGGUCCCCCACAUUGGAACUGAGACACGGUUCAA
RNAcentral lists this ribosomal RNA (229 nucleotides) under uncultured bacterium. RNAcentral describes it as "partial 16S ribosomal RNA". It matches the Rfam family "Bacterial small subunit ribosomal RNA", at positions 107 to 334 of the family's 1533-position model. The record is from RNAcentral.